This 253-nucleotide ribosomal RNA is filed under the name uncultured bacterium. Its description in RNAcentral is "partial 16S ribosomal RNA". It matches the Rfam family "Bacterial small subunit ribosomal RNA", at positions 524 to 776 of the family's 1533-position model. The record is from RNAcentral.
UACGUAGGGUGCAAGCGUUGUCCGGAAUUAUUGGGCGUAAAGAGCUCGUAGGCGGUCUGUCACGUCGGCUGUGAAAACCCGAGGCUCAACCUCGGGCCUGCAGUCGAUACGGGCAAACUAGAGUACUGCAGGGGAGACUGGAAUUCCUGGUGUAGCGGUGAAAUGCGCAGAUAUCAGGAGGAACACCUGUGGCGAAAGCGGCUCACUGGACCAUAACUGACGCUGAUGCACGAAAGCGAGGGGAGCAAAUGGG